GAUGAACGCUGGCGGCGUGCUUAACACAUGCAAGUCGAACGGAAAGGCCCAAGCUUGCUUGGGUGCUCGAGUGGCGAACGGGUGAGUAACACGUGGGUGAUCUGCCCUGCACUUUGGGAUAAGCCUGGGAAACUGGGUCUAAUACCGGAUAGGACCAUCGUUUAGUGUCGGUGGUGGAAAGUUUUUCGGUGUGGGAUGAGCUCGCGGCCUAUCAGCUUGUUGGUGGGGUAAUGGCCUACCAAGGCGUCGACGGGUAGCCGGCCUGGGGGGGUGUACGGCCAUAUUGGCGCGGAAGGGAGGCCCCGACCCCAGGGGGGGGAGGAGGGGGGGAAUUUGGAGCAAGGGGGGAAGCGGUGGGGCAGAGGGGCGGCGGGGGGGAUGGCGCCCUUGGGGGGGAAAAACACUUGCACAAGGAGAAACGGUUUUUGUGAGGGUACUGGGAGAAGAAGCACCGGCUAACUCCGUG
RNAcentral lists this ribosomal RNA (466 nucleotides) under uncultured bacterium. Its description in RNAcentral is "partial 16S ribosomal RNA". It matches the Rfam family "Bacterial small subunit ribosomal RNA", at positions 28 to 507 of the family's 1533-position model. The record is from RNAcentral.